GGGCGUAUGGUGGAUGCCUAGACACUAAAGAGCGAUGAAGGACGUGGCGUAGCGACGAUACGUCUCGGGGAGGUGCGUAGCAACCUGUGAUCCGGGAAUUUCCGAAUGGGGAAACCUUCUGUGGUAAACCCACAGAGCCACCGCAAGGUGGAGCAUACCCGCUGAAGUAAAACAUUUCAGUAGGCGGAGGAAAAGAAAAUAACGAGCGUAAGCUCAACAUUCCCUAAGUAGCGGCGAGUGAAAGGGGAAGAGCCCAAACCUUGCGCAUCACAUUGUGUGUGAUGCUGAUAUUUAAAUAUUUAAAAGUUUAAAUUUAAGCAUCGUGCAUAGCGCGAUGCGUGAGGGGUCAUAAGACAGAGACAUUUUUGUCAAUCACAAAGCGCAGUUUGCGUUUUGUGAUUUACAAAUAAAGAGUUACAAAUUGAUUUGCUAGCUGAAUCUUCUGGAAAGUAGACCCAAAGACGGUGAUAGGCCGGUAAGCGAAAGCUAAUCAACUCUUGUUUUUGUUCUUGAGUAACUCGAGGAAUCAACGCUUUGAGUGAAUUCGCCUGUACUAUCAGGCAAGGCUAAAUAUCUUUAGUGAUCGAUAGUGAACUAGUACCGUGAGGGAAAGGUGAAAAGCAGGCCGUUGAGGCCGAUGAAAUAGAACCUGAAACCAUAUGUCUACAAGGAAUCGAAGCUCCUUCGCUGUCGCUCCGAGCUUCUAAAUUUAAAGUGUAAAUAUCAAAAUGGAAAAUGACAAUGUAAAAUGUAAAAAUUUUAACAUUAAAUCAUUUUUUAGAUUUUAAUUUGUAGUUUUGAUUUUUGCAUUUUGAUUUUUGAAUUCGGAGCUCCGAGCGAUAGCGAGAGCGACGGUGUGCCUAUUGAAGAAUGAGCCAACGACUUUAUGUGUACGGCAAGGGUAAGUCCUUCUGGGAUGGACCCGUAGGGAAACCGAGUGUUAAUAGCGCGCGCUUGCGUAACUUAGGUUGCGCCGGCAAGUCGUACGUGUAAGACCCGAAGCCGGGUGAGCUUGCCCUGGGCAGGUUGAAGUUCCGCGAAAGUGGAAUGGAGGACCGAACCGGUAGGUUGUUCAAAACCUUCGGAUGACCUGGGGUAAGGAGUGAAAAGCUAAUCGAACUCGGUAAUAGCUGGUUCUCUCCGAAAUAGCUUUAGGGCUAGCCUUCGGCAAAAACAGUAAGGGGGUAGAGCUACUGGUUCGGAAGUAAAGGGCGAAAGCUCAGCUUCCGAGUCAAACUCCGAAUACCUUAUUGGACGCCGGGGAGUUAGACUAUGGGGGCUAAGCUCCGUAGUCGCAAGGGAAACAGCCCAGAUCGCAGUCUAAGGUCCCUAAAUUUAUACUUAGUGUCAAAGGUAGUGUUUAACCUCAGACAGAUAGGAGGUUGGCUUAGAGGUAGUCAUCCUUUAAAGAGUGUGUAACAACUCACUAUUCGAAACCUCUCUGCACAAAUUGCACAAGCAUUGGCCAGUAAGAUUUUUUCUUCUGGCUAGGCGCGAGAAGCGAUGCGUACCAAGGGUACGUGAGCGACAAGUAACAACGCCAGAAUAAAAAAUAUUCUGGCUCAAAGAGAAGCUCAAAAUUAAGCGAUCUCUUUGUUGCUCCUCCUCAGUGUACUCUCCGAGUACACUUUCGUUGUUGCGUCGCGAGCUCAACUUAAUUUUGAGCUUCCAAUGCGUUGCGGAAUUUGUGCAGAGAGGUUGGUUAAGCGCGCCGAAAAUGUAUCGGGGCUUGAAGUAUAAUACCGAAGACGCGGAUGCCUUGUGCUUUGCACAAGGAAAUUUCUAAUUUCUAAUUUCUAAACAAUUUCUAAAUUCAAAAUUCCAAACCCAAAACGAAAGACUAUUACAGUUUUCUUGUUUUGAGUUUUAGAUUUUAUUUUUGAAUUUGUUUAGGAUUUAGAGUUUAGGAUUUCCUCGCGCAGAGCGCGAGGCGUGGUAGGAGAGCAUUCCUUACUGCGUUGAAGCCGGACCCGCGAGGGCCGGUGGAGUGUAAGGAAGAGAAAAUGUUGGCAUGAGUAACCACUAUCUUAAUGCGAAAUUAAGACCCCGAAAAUCUAAGGUUUCCGUGGCACUGGCAAUCAACCACGGGUUAGGCGGUCCUAAGCUAAUGGCGAAAGCCGCAAGCGAAGGGUAGCAGGCUAAUAUUCCUGCCCUGCCUAGAAAGCGUGAUGAAGGGACGAAGGAGAUAAGGAUACGCGGAUUAAUGGUUUUCACGUUCUUUGCGUGAAGCGUACUUGAGCAGGCAAAUCCACUCAAGUGUGUUUAAUCACAUUACGCGAACGUCGAGAGAAGGUGAAGGUUUUCCUUUACCAACGUAUCUGAAGUGCCUUCCAAGAAAAGCUUCUAAGCUUAUUUUUAGGCAUCCGUACCGGAAACCGACACAGGUGGAUAGGGCGAGUAGCCCAAGGGGAACGAGUGAUUCUUCGUUAAGGAACUCGGCAAAAAAGCGGCCGUAAGUUCGCAAUAAGGCCUUCCCCCACCACUUUUACUAGAAACGUUUAUUAACUUUUUUUGUAAAUCAAUUUAUUUAUAAAAUAUUUUAAUCAGUUGUUUGUUGUAAAAGUGGUGGGGGACGCAGCUAAAGUAUCUCUGGCGACUGUUUACCAAAAACACAGCUCCCUGCUAACUCGCAAGAGGAUGUAUAGGGGGUGACGCCUGACCGAUGCGAGAAGGUUAACGAUGGAGGUCGUGUCGCUACACGACACUUAAAUCAAAUCUCAAAAAUAAAAUCUCAAAAUUUAUGAAGCUUAAAAAAUAAAAUAAUUUUAUUUUUUAAGCAACCAGAUUUUUUAGAUUUUAGAUAUUAGAUUUUAUAUUGAGUGCCGCGUAGCGGCACGGCUUAUUGUCCGAAGCCCUCGUCAAUGUCAGCCGUAACUAUAACGGUUCUAAGGUGAAUUGUUUUGCCUUAGUAAAAUCUGGCCAAAUGCUGGAACAUCUGGAGAAUCCAAGGCUACUAAGGUAUAAUACGACCAUAGAAAAUAUGGCAAAAAUAUCUAGUAAAAAAGCUAUUGGUGCAGACAAUCAGCAGGAAAGGCUAGGAAUGUCUUAUUGGAUUAGCGGAUUUACUGAUGGAGAAGGUUGUUUUUCUAUCGCGGUGAUAAAAAAUUCAACUACACGUUUUGGGAAACAAAUAUUUCCUGAAUUUGUUAUUACGCAAGGCGCAAAAAGCAUUAAAGCAUUAGAAGAAAUUAAAAUUUUUUUUAAUUGUGGCAAUAUUUUUGUUAAUAAGCGUUAUGAUAAUCACAACGAAUUUCUAUAUCGGUAUUGUGUCCGCUCGCUCCAAGAGCUUCAAGAGAAAAUUAUUCCUUUUUUUGAUAAAUUUCCAUUGCAUACUUAUAAACAAAAUGACUUUCUGAUUUUUAAGAAAGUUGUUCAAAUGAUGCUUCUAAAAAAGCAUUUAGAAAGUAAUGGGAGGAAAAUUAUUUUGAAACUUAUUGAAAAAUCUAAUCGUAAAAAAAGACGUUUCUAGAAUCCUCAGAGACUAUACGCCAGACUCACUAAUGUAGUGAGAUGAUAUAGUCCGAACUGCAUGGCGACAUGCAGAGAUAGACAGAAAUGAUCUAUCCAAUCCGUCAAUUGGCGGAUCGUAACACUUUUGAGCGCAAUUCCUUUUCGGGUAGGUUGAACUUGCCCCUUUGCGUCGUAAGGCGCAUCGAUCAGUGACUGUAUCGGUGAAACCUGUGUUCUCUCUAAUUCGCGCGAAUAGGCGAAUAAGGGAAUAUGGCAAUACCGAGGGAAGUCGCCCUGAGUUUAUCAAAGGGUUGACCCCGUAGAGACUACACGUCGCUUUCCUAACAGCAGAUUUUUAUAAUUUGUUGUGGAAAAAGAUAUAGUCCGAUCCUUUUCUAAAGAAAAGUGCUUGCAUUAUGCGUGUGCAUCAGCGUAGAUUUUAAAUCUGCGUUAAUCAGCGUAUUUGCGUAGCAGAUUAUGAAGUUCCGAAGCGCACGAAUGGCGUAACGACUGGAGAACUGUCUCAACGAAGAGCUCGGUGAAAAUG
Molecule: ribosomal RNA, 3997 nt
Filed under: bacterium
Lineage: Bacteria
Description: 23S ribosomal RNA
Rfam family: Bacterial large subunit ribosomal RNA (bases 1-2967)
Source: RNAcentral